GCGAAGGUGGUAUAGUGGUAGCACAUCACGUUGUGGCCGUGUUGACCCCGGUUCGAUUCCGGGCCUUCGCA
Bifiguratus adelaidae is the source of this 71-nucleotide non-coding RNA. Lineage: Eukaryota; Fungi; Mucoromycota; Endogonomycetes; Endogonales. The record is from the annotation of a GenBank genome assembly.